GCGGAUGUGGCGUAAUUGGUAGCCGCGCUAGACUUAGGAUCUAGUUCCGUGAGGAGUGAGAGUUCGAGUCUCUCCAUCCGCA
This 82-nucleotide transfer RNA is filed under the name Bacteroidales bacterium. RNAcentral describes it as "tRNA-Leu". It matches the Rfam family "tRNA". From Rfam's summary of the family: Transfer RNA (tRNA) molecules are approximately 80 nucleotides in length. Their secondary structure includes four short double-helical elements and three loops (D, anti-codon, and T loops). The record is from RNAcentral. Lineage: Bacteria; Pseudomonadati; Bacteroidota; Bacteroidia; Bacteroidales.